GGACAGGUGCCAGAGUGGUUUAAUGGGCUCGCCUGGAAAGCGUGUAACGGCUUAAACCCGUUCGAGGGUUCGAAUCCCUCCCUGUCCG
This 88-nucleotide transfer RNA is filed under the name Verrucomicrobium sp. Its description in RNAcentral is "tRNA-Ser". It matches the Rfam family "tRNA". From Rfam's summary of the family: Transfer RNA (tRNA) molecules are approximately 80 nucleotides in length. Their secondary structure includes four short double-helical elements and three loops (D, anti-codon, and T loops). Further hydrogen bonds mediate the characteristic L-shaped molecular structure. tRNAs have two regions of fundamental functional importance: the anti-codon, which is responsible for specific mRNA codon recognition, and the 3' end, to which the tRNAs corresponding amino acid is attached (by aminoacyl-tRNA synthetases). tRNAs cope with the degeneracy of the genetic code in two manners: having more than one tRNA (with a specific anti-codon) for a particular amino acid; and 'wobble' base-pairing, i.e. permitting non-standard base-pairing at the 3rd anti-codon position. Lineage: Bacteria; Pseudomonadati; Verrucomicrobiota; Verrucomicrobiia; Verrucomicrobiales; Verrucomicrobiaceae. The record is from RNAcentral.